AGUGAACGCUGGCGGUAGGCCUAACACAUGCAAGUCGAACGGCAGCACAGUAAGAGCUUGCUCUUACGGGUGGCGAGUGGCGGACGGGUGAGGAAUACAUCGGAAUCUACUUUUUCGUGGGGGAUAACGUAGGGAAACUUACGCUAAUACCGCAUACGACCUACGGGUGAAAGCAGGGGAUCUUCGGACCUUGCGCGAUUGAAUGAGCCGAUGUCGGAUUAGCUAGUUGGCGGGGUAAAGGCCCACCAAGGCGACGAUCCGUAACUGGUCUGAGAGGAUGAUCAGCCACACUGGAACUGAGACACGGUCCAGACUCCUACGGGAGGCAGCAGUGGGGAAUAUUGGACAAUGGGCGCAAGCCUGAUCCAGCCAUACCGCGUGGGUGAAGAAGGCCUUCGGGUUGUAAAGCCCUUUUGUUGGGAAAGAAAAGCAGCAGGUUAAUACCCCGCUGUUCUGACGGUACCCAAAGAAUAAGUACCGGCUAACUUCGUG
Molecule: ribosomal RNA, 492 nt
Filed under: uncultured bacterium
Lineage: Bacteria
Description: partial 16S ribosomal RNA
Rfam family: Bacterial small subunit ribosomal RNA
Source: RNAcentral